This 398-nucleotide unclassified non-coding RNA is filed under the name soil metagenome. Its description in RNAcentral is "partial contains 5.8S ribosomal RNA, internal transcribed spacer 2, and large subunit ribosomal RNA". The stretch from base 1 to 122 matches the Rfam family "5.8S ribosomal RNA", at positions 35 to 154 of the family's 154-position model. The record is from RNAcentral.
GAUGAAGAACGUAGUGAAAUGCGAUACUUGGUGUGAAUUGCAGAAUCCCGUGAACCAUCGAGUCUUUGAACGCAAGUUGCGCCUCAAGCCAUUAGGUUGAGGGCACGUCUGCCUGGGCGUCACAUAUCGUUGCCUGAUGCCAGUUUCCUCGUGAUGGGUGACUGUGCAGGGCGAAUGAUGGCUUCCCGUGAGCAUUGUUGCCUCAUGGUUGGUUGAAAAUUGAGUCCUUGGUAGGGAGCGCCGUGAUAGAUGGUGGUUGAGUGACGAACGAAACCCAAUCAUGUGAGACCCCUACCGAAUUUGGCCUUCAUGACCCACAUGCGUCUUUGGAACGCUCAUGACGAGACCUCAGGUCAGGCGGGGCUACCCGCUGAGUUUAAGCAUAUCAAUAGCGGAGA